Molecule: long non-coding RNA, 220 nt
Filed under: Callithrix jacchus (white-tufted-ear marmoset)
Lineage: Eukaryota; Metazoa; Chordata; Mammalia; Primates; Cebidae
Description: lncRNA (ENSCJAG00000084578.1)
Source: RNAcentral
AUGAUGGCAUUUGGAGGUGAGACCUUUGAGAAGCAAUUAAGUGGAGCCCUACUAAAUGGCAUUGGUCCUUUUACAGAAAGAGUCCAGAGAACCAGCUCAUUCUUUUCACAAUGUUCAGAAAAAGUUACAUUCAACCACUUAUGAGAGAUGAAAUGGAGUAAAUAUGAGUGUUGCUACAUAAAAAAAUAAAUAAAUAAAUGACAGUAAGAUUUUGCUAUAG